Molecule: long non-coding RNA, 739 nt
Organism: Scylla paramamosain (green mud crab)
Lineage: Eukaryota; Metazoa; Arthropoda; Malacostraca; Decapoda; Portunidae
Exons: 2
Source: RefSeq, a predicted model, not a curated record
CAUCAUCUGGGGGAUAGUGCCCAGAGGAGGCUGGGGGACCAUCACCACUGCCACUGCCACUUCCCUCAUACCCUACUGUGGCAUCGUCACCGACAGUCUCUUCAUUCUGUCUGUUGCUGGUCUUCAGCCAAGUCUCUGAAAGCAAUGGUAGCCUGACAUCAUUCAAAAUCAACUUUAUCAACAAAACUGCCUGACUGAGACACAUUCAGGUCUUACCUUCUCAGAGAUAUCUACACCGGACUCUUGAAAAUUCAUGAUUGCAUCUGAGAUUUUGUAAUUUACUGGCUGGACAACAUUAUCAAUGUUGAAGGGAUUCUCUAACCUUUCCCCAACUUUAACCAUGGCAUCUGAAACGGGGAAAAAAAAAAAAUAAAUAAAUAAAACAUCAAAUACCUUUUCCAGCCAAAGGUAAAACUGUUAUAAUAAAGGGCUGGAUUCUACAAGAAAUUUUAAUAAGUUCCUUCUUUAACAUCUAACUGAUCCUUGUGGUUUAAGAUUGUGGAAUUGCAGUGUAAUAACAUCAUUUUUGUGAUUGGCAGUCUUGCCCAGUUCUCAACAAGAAAACAAACUUGUAACUAAGAACUCAUAAAAUCCUUAUCUGCAUCUUGGUCAUGCUGAAAAGAUGAUAGAGUGACUGAAAGAAGGCCUGGUAAGCUGCCAUGAGAUGAAAAGAGUAUGUAGUUUCUCAAAAUGGUGUCAUUUAUAAAUUACCCUACCAAAUAAAUAAAACUGCACUGAU